Molecule: unclassified non-coding RNA, 251 nt
Filed under: fungal sp.
Lineage: Eukaryota; Fungi
Description: partial contains small subunit ribosomal RNA, internal transcribed spacer 1, and 5.8S ribosomal RNA
Rfam family: Eukaryotic small subunit ribosomal RNA (bases 1-46)
Source: RNAcentral
AAGUCGUAACAAGGUUUCCGUAGGUGAACCUGCGGAAGGAUCAUUACCGAGUUAGGGUCUUAUAGGCCCGAUCUCUAACCCUUUGUUUACUAUACCAUGUUGCUUUGGCGGGCCCGCCUUUCGGGGCCGCUGGGGGCUUUCAUGCCCCUGGCCAGUGCUCGCCAGUAGCCUUAUUAAAUUCUUUCAUAAUUAUGUUGUCUGAGUAUAAAUAUAAAUCGUUAAAACUUUCAACAACGGAUCUCUUGGUUCUG